CAGCCGCCACGGUAAUACGGAGGGUGCAAGCGUUAAUCGGAAUUACUGGGCGUAAAGCGCACGCAGGCGGUUUGUUAAGUCGGAUGUGAAAUCCCCGAGCUUAACUUGGGAACUGCAUUUGAAACUGGCAAGCUAGAGUCUUGUAGAGGGGGGUAGAAUUCCAGGUGUAGCGGUGAAAUGCGUAGAGAUCUGGAGGAAUACCGGUGGCGAAGGCGGCCCCCUGGACAAAGACUGACGCUCAGGUGCGAAGGCGUGGGGAGCAAACAGGAUUAGAGACCCGCGUAGUCCCUGUCUCUUAUAC
RNAcentral lists this ribosomal RNA (301 nucleotides) under uncultured bacterium. Its description in RNAcentral is "partial 16S ribosomal RNA". It matches the Rfam family "Bacterial small subunit ribosomal RNA", at positions 509 to 807 of the family's 1533-position model. The record is from RNAcentral.